CCCAAGAGAAGAGCACUCCACAUCACUCUGCAAGAUGACCCCGAGACGCUCCGCCGAGACGGAGACCGGCUGCUCCCGUUUUCAUCUUCGUCCUUGUUGGUGUGCAUCGCCGGGUGGCCGCACUGGUGCUAGGGUCCACUAGGAACUGGUUUUAUUUACUGUCAAGUGUCCUUUAAUUUUCUCAUGAAGAACUCUCUCUAGUAUUUCUUAUAAGAGUUCUUGGGACAGACUGCUUGGGUUUAAACGCCAUCUCCACCACUUCUUUAGCUGUGUGACUUUGGAUAUUAACCAAAUCUACCUUUCCUAAAGGUCAGGCCUCCCUGGCUGGCCAGCCCUCUGGUCACAUCAGAAGACCCACAGCUCUCUCACACUCUAUUCCAUAUCCCAGUUGGAUACAGGUUGAAUAAAAAUGUGCUUUCUGGCCCUCACACUUAGUUUAUGUGAGUGAAUGCUGAUGGAAAUGGAGAGAGAGCACGAAAGAAAUAUCGAUGAGAGAAACACCGAUGGGAGAG
Myotis myotis is the source of this 512-nucleotide long non-coding RNA. RefSeq lists it as uncharacterized. The transcript is spliced from 5 exons. The record is from RefSeq and is a predicted model, not a curated record. NCBI's taxonomy places the organism in Eukaryota, Metazoa, Chordata, Mammalia, Chiroptera, Vespertilionidae.